This 204-nucleotide long non-coding RNA is filed under the name Carica papaya (papaya). RNAcentral describes it as "long non-coding RNA (CPAP_LNC009615)". Lineage: Eukaryota; Viridiplantae; Streptophyta; Magnoliopsida; Brassicales; Caricaceae. The record is from RNAcentral.
AAGACUAUGAUCACGACCAUACUUUGCCACAGUGGUCCUAGGAUCUCCUACGUGCUUUUGCAUCGUCAUCCACAGAGAGUGGUCAUCUCACGUCUUUCCAAAUAAGGUGGGAACAAGAAAAGUAGAUAAAAUAAUCUAACGGAUUAAUUCAUGUUUCAUAUAUUCGUUCAUGUUUUUCAUUCCAUGUCAACAAUUUCAUGUAAU